GUAGUCACAAUAGUAGAAUUGUACUGGUAUAAAAAUAGACACAUAGACCAGUGGAAGAGAAUAAAGAACCCAGCAAUAAACUGAAAUACUUACAGGUAAUUGAUUUUCGAUAAAGCAAACAAAAACAUAAAAUGAGGAAAGGAUACCCUUUUCAACAAAUGGUGCUG
Molecule: long non-coding RNA, 167 nt
Organism: Sapajus apella (tufted capuchin)
Lineage: Eukaryota; Metazoa; Chordata; Mammalia; Primates; Cebidae
Exons: 3
Source: RefSeq, a predicted model, not a curated record